This 955-nucleotide long non-coding RNA is filed under the name Papio anubis (olive baboon). Its description in RNAcentral is "lncRNA (ENSPANG00000047879.1)". The record is from RNAcentral. Lineage: Eukaryota; Metazoa; Chordata; Mammalia; Primates; Cercopithecidae.
AACAUUUAUGAAAAUCUAACAGGCUGAAUACCAAAGUUCACUGUGGUCCUUCCCCAUCUUGUGGUUUUUGCAUCUUACUGCAAAACUUCUGUGUUUGCUUCUGCGAAAGAAAGACAACUGAAGGAUCAUGUUCCAGCUGAUAAAUGCUUUGUUCACCGGCUUCUGGCCAGAAGUCAUCGAAUAGUUCACUCAACCAAACCACAGGAGGCUGGGGAAUACGUGAGAGCAAGCACAUGGCCAUGUGAUGACUAGGGAACAUCUCAGCCACGGUAACCUUUCUCAGGGUUCUUUAGUUUCCUUAUAUUAUUGUUUCCUAAGGAAUUUUUCAAGCAGGGUUUACUGGGUGAACAAAAGGGUUUCACCUUUCACCAAUCAAAGAGGAACAUGAAACUCUCAAGCAGCCCUCCCUGUUGAUGAACUAGGCUGAAUGGUGACGCAAAGAUGAUUCGUGGCUUUUCAGCUGUGUGAAAUAUGAAGUUCCACUCUUGUCACACAGGCUGGAGUGCAAUGGCACAAUCUCGGUUCACUGUAACCUCCACCUCCCCAGUUCAAGUGAUUCUCCUGUCUCAGCCUCCCCAGUAGCUGGGAUUUCAGGUGCCUGCUACCAUGUCCAGCUAAAUUUUGUAUUUGAAUUCCUGCCCUCAGACCAUCUGCCCACCUGGGACUUCCAAGACUCAACAUUUUGUGCUUCAUUAUGUCAUAUUUUCUAUUUAGUAGAAUUAUUUCUUUAAAUUUUCAAUUAAAUCUUAUAUUUAAAACAAAUUAUAUUAGACCUACUGUUUGAGUUCCUGAAAAGAUUAUAUAGGUUAAAAAGAUCAUAUAGUUUUUAAAUGAAAAAAUUAGCAACACUAACAACAUCAGUAUUUUAUCCAAAAAUGUAUAUUUUCAAUUAAAACUCAAAAUAAUGCUGGUGUAUAAUAUAUAUUAUAAAUGAAUACUCAUAUAUGUAUAUUAG